This 594-nucleotide small RNA is filed under the name Pongo abelii (Sumatran orangutan). RNAcentral's name for it is "retained intron". The record is from RNAcentral. Lineage: Eukaryota; Metazoa; Chordata; Mammalia; Primates; Hominidae.
GGUACCCCAGGAGGAGCAAGUGGCACGUCUUCGGACCUAGGCUGCCCCUGCCGUCAUGUCUCAAGGGAUCCUUUCUCCGCCAGCGGGCUUGCUGUCCGAUGACGAUGUCGUAGUUUCUCCCAUGUUUGAGUCCACAGCUGCAGAUUUGGGGUCUGUGGUACGCAAGAACCUGCUAUCAGAUUGCUCUGUCAUCUCUACCUCCCUAGAGGACAAGCAGCAGGUUCCAUCUGAGGACAGUAUGGAGAAGGUGAAAGUAUACUUGAGGGUUAGGCCCUUGUUACCUUCAGAGGUGGAACGACAGGAAGAUCAGGGUUGUGUCCGUAUUGAGAAUGUGGAGACCCUUAUUCUACAAGCACCCAAGGACUCUUUUGCCCUGAAGAGCAAUGAGCGGGGAAUUGGCCAAGCCACACACAGGUUCACCUUUUCCCAGGUAUGGAGGGUACUGGUUUGUGAACAAAGGACCAACAUGUAAGGGCAACUUUAUUCCCUCUUUAGAGGGAAAGCUUCUCUUCCUGUGAGUUCCUUGUAUAUGCACACCUACAAUUUUGAGGGCCCUAGUUAUGUGUUAGUCAAUGUGUCAAGUAACAUAUGUAU